GGGGGUGUGUUCUCUCCCUGGCUUGGGAAAGGGCGUAGAGCCAGUGGGCAGCGCAGGGACUGGGAGCCAGGACUCCUGGGUGUCUUUCAUGCUGUCAGACGGGUUGGACUCCAGCUGUGCUCCCCUGCAGGUCGGAGAGCAGGUCCCCCUCUCGCCGCGAGAGGAAAAAGAGCUCAAAGAAGAAGAAGCACAGGUCGGAGUCGGAUUCUAAGAAGAGGAAACACAGGUCUCCCAGUCCAAAAAGCAAACACAAAGCCAAGGAGAAGAAA
Molecule: non-coding RNA, 269 nt
Organism: Pelodiscus sinensis (Chinese soft-shelled turtle)
Lineage: Eukaryota; Metazoa; Chordata; Testudines; Trionychidae
Source: RefSeq, a predicted model, not a curated record